RNAcentral lists this ribosomal RNA (373 nucleotides) under uncultured bacterium. RNAcentral describes it as "bacterial SSU rRNA". It matches the Rfam family "Bacterial small subunit ribosomal RNA", at positions 523 to 898 of the family's 1533-position model. The record is from RNAcentral.
AUACGGAGGAUGCAGGCGUUAUCCGGAUUUAUUGGGUUUAAAGGGUGCGUAGGUUGCGGAUUAAGUGAGCGGUGAAAUGUUGUGGCUCAACCAUAAGAUUGCCGUUCAUACUGGUUCGCUUGAGGACAGAUGAGGCAGGCGGAAUGCGUGGUGUAGCGGUGAAAUGCAUAGAUAUCACGCAGAACUCCGAUUGCGAAGGCAGCUUGCCAAGCUGUGACUGACACUGAAGCACGAAAGCGUGGGUAUCAAACAGGAUUAGAUACCCUGGUAGUCCACGCAGUAAACGAUGAUUACUAAGGGUUUGCGAUAGACAGUAAGCCCGCGAGCGAAAGCGUUAAGUAAUCCACCUGGGGAGUACGCCGGCAACGGUGAA